GGAAUAUUGGACAAUGGGGGCAACCCUGAUCCAGCAAUGCCGCGUGAGUGAUGAAGGCCUUCGGGUUGUAAAGCUCUUUUGCCAGGGACGAUGAUGACGGUACCUGGAGAAUAAGCCCCGGCUAACUUCGUGCCAGCAGCCGCGGUAAUACGAAGGGGGCAAGCGUUGUUCGGAAUUACUGGGCGUAAAGCGUGCGCAGGCGGUUUUGUAAGCCAGAUGUGAAAGCCCCGGGCUCAACCUGGGAAUGGCAUUUGGGACUGCAAGGCUUGAGUGCGGCAGAGGAGACUGGAAUUCCUGGUGUAGCAGUGAAAUGCGUAGGUAUCAGGAGGAAUACCGAUGGCGAAGGCAGGUCUCUGGGCUGACACUGACGCUCAUGCACGAAAGCGUGGGGAGCAAAC
This 398-nucleotide ribosomal RNA is filed under the name uncultured bacterium. Its description in RNAcentral is "bacterial SSU rRNA". It matches the Rfam family "Bacterial small subunit ribosomal RNA", at positions 358 to 773 of the family's 1533-position model. The record is from RNAcentral.